GACGAACGCUGGCGGCGUGCUUAACGCAUGCAAGUCGAACGAAGAGCGAUGGAAGCUUGCUUCUAUCAAUCUUAGUGGCGAACGGGUGAGUAACGCGUAAUCAACCUGCCCUUCAGAGGGGGACAACAGUUGGAAACGACUGCUAAUACCGCAUACGAUCUAAUCUCGGCAUCGAGGAAAGAUGAAAGGUGGCCUCUAUUUAUAAGCUAUCACUGAAGGAGGGGAUUGCGUCUGAUUAGCUAGUUGGAGGGGUAACGGCCCACCAAGGCGAUGAUCAGUAGCCGGUCUGAGAGGAUGAACGGCCACAUUGGGACUGAGACACGGCCCAGACUCCUACGGGAGGCAGCAGUGGGGAAUCUUCCGCAAUGGACGAAAGUCUGACGGAGCAACGCCGCGUGAGUGAUGACGGCCUUCGGGUUGUAAAGCUCUGUUAAUCGGGACGAAAGGCCUUCUUGCGAACAGUUAGAAGGAUUGACGGUACCGGAAUAGAAAGCCACGGCUAACUACGUG
Molecule: ribosomal RNA, 510 nt
Filed under: uncultured bacterium
Lineage: Bacteria
Description: partial 16S ribosomal RNA
Rfam family: Bacterial small subunit ribosomal RNA
Source: RNAcentral